UCCCCUCUGGGGGCCCGAGUUGUAAUUUGAAGAGGAUGCUUUUGGCGAGGCGCCUUCCGAGUGCCCUGGAACGGGACGCCACAGAGGGUGAGAGCCCCGUAUGGUAGGACGCCGAGCCUCUGUAAAGCUCCUUCGACGAGUCGAGUAGUUUGGGAAUGCUGCUCAAAAUGGGAGGUAAACCCCUUCUAAAGCUAAAUAUUGGCCAGAGACCGAUAGCGCACAAGUAGAGUGAUCGAAAGAUGAAAAGCACUUUGAAAAGAGAGUUAAACAGCACGUGAAAUUGUUGAAAGGGAAGCGCUUGCGACCAGACUUGCGCCCGUCGGAUCAACCGUCCCUCGUGGGCGGCGCACUCCGGCGGGCUCAGGCCAGCAUCAGUUUUCCCGGGGGGAGAAAGGCGGUGGGAAUGUAGCUCUUCGGAGUGUUAUAGCCCGCCGCGUAAUGCCCUCGGGGGGACUGAGGACCGCGCGUAUGCAAGGAUGCUGGCGUAAUGGUCGUCAGCGACCCGUCUUGAAACACGGACCAAGGAGUCGUCCUAAUAUGCGAGUGUACGGGUGUAAAACCCCUGCGCGUAAUGAAAGUGAACGGAGGUGAGAGCUUCGGCGCAUCAUCGACCGAUCCUGAUGUUCUCGGAUGGAUUUGAGUAAGAGCAUAUUGGGCCGGACCCGAAAAAGUGACUAUGC
Molecule: ribosomal RNA, 680 nt
Filed under: Cephalotrichum tenuissimum
Lineage: Eukaryota; Fungi; Ascomycota; Sordariomycetes; Microascales; Microascaceae
Description: partial large subunit ribosomal RNA
Rfam family: Eukaryotic large subunit ribosomal RNA
Source: RNAcentral